Molecule: long non-coding RNA, 289 nt
Filed under: Panax ginseng (ginseng)
Lineage: Eukaryota; Viridiplantae; Streptophyta; Magnoliopsida; Apiales; Araliaceae
Description: long non-coding RNA (PGIN_LNC007479)
Source: RNAcentral
GGGACCACGAGAGGAUCAAUUUUCUGCUUUGAUUUAAGCGUAUCUUUCCUUCGGAAUUACACCCAAUAUAUAGAGUAGUUUCAAUGCCCUCUCAGCCAAGGGUAUAAAUGAGUUGAAAUGAAACGAAGAGAGCUGCUCGAAUUCGACUCAAAGCGUUAAAUUUAUAUUCGAAUUCGACUUGAAUUUGAAUUGUAUUUAAAAAAUUCUACUCGGAUUUGACUCGACUCGAAUAUUUAUUACUCGAAUUUAAUUUGACUUUGAUCGAAUUAUAUUCAAACUACUUGCGAGU